GAUGAACGCUGGCGGCGUGCUUUAACACAUGCAAGUCGAGCGAAGCGAUUUUGAGGAAGUUUUCGGAUGGAAUUAAGAUUGACUGAGCGGCGGACGGGUGAGUAACGCGUGGGUAACCUGCCUCAUACAGGGGAUAACAGUUAGAAAUGACUGCUAAUACCGCAUAAGCGCACAGGACCGCAUGGUCCGGUGUGAAAAACUCCGGUGGUAUGAGAUGGACCCGCGUCUGAUUAGGUAGUUGGUGGGGUAACGGCCACAAGCCGACGAUCAGUAGCCGACCUGAGAGGGUGACCGGCCACAUUGGGACUGAGACACGGCCAAACUCCUACGGGAGGCAGCAGUGGGAAUAUUGCACAAU
Molecule: ribosomal RNA, 358 nt
Filed under: uncultured bacterium
Lineage: Bacteria
Description: bacterial SSU rRNA
Rfam family: Bacterial small subunit ribosomal RNA
Source: RNAcentral